AUUGUAUUACCUCUGUCCCAAAUUACGUGUCUUAGAUUUGUCUAGAUACAUAUGUAUCUGACACUAAAAUGUGUCUAGAUACAUCCAUAUUUAGACAAAUCUGAGAAAAAAUAAUUCGAGACAGAGGGAGUAUAUU
This is a non-coding RNA of Triticum aestivum (bread wheat), 136 nucleotides long. NCBI's taxonomy places the organism in Eukaryota, Viridiplantae, Streptophyta, Magnoliopsida, Poales, Poaceae. The record is from Rfam.